GACGAACGCUGGCGGCGUGCUUAACACAUGCAAGUCGAACGGGCCUGUCUUCUUUUUUGGGGGUGGGUUGAGUGGCGAACGGGUGAGUAUCACGUGAGUAACCUGCCCUUCGGUCCUGGAUAACCGCUUGAAAGGGCGGCUAAUACGGGGUGGUCCGGUUGGUCCGCAUGGGCUGGUCGGGAUAGAUUCACUGUUUUUGGUGUUUCGGCGGGGGAUGGGCUCGCGGCCUAUCAGCUUGUUGGUGGGGCGAUGGCCUACCAAGGCGGUGACGGGUAGCCGGCCUGAGAGGGUGGGCGGCCACACUGGGACUGAGAUACGGCCCAGACUCCUGCGGGAGGCAGCAGUGGGGGGUAUUGCACAAUGGGCGGAAGCCUGAUGCAGCGACGUCGCGUGAGGGAUGGAGGCCUUCGGGUUGUGAACCUCUGUUUCCGGUGGUGAAGGCCCUGUCCGUGUGGUGGGGUUGACGGUAGCCGGGGAUGAAGCGCCGGCUAACUACGUG
Molecule: ribosomal RNA, 499 nt
Filed under: uncultured bacterium
Lineage: Bacteria
Description: partial 16S ribosomal RNA
Rfam family: Bacterial small subunit ribosomal RNA
Source: RNAcentral